UUUAUUGGAGAGUUUGAUCCUGGCUCAGGAUGAACGCUGGCGGCGUGCCUAAUACAUGCAAGUCGAGCGAAUGGAUUAAGAGCUUGCUCUUAUGAAGUUAGCGGCGGACGGGUGAGUAACACGUGGGUAACCUGCCCAUAAGACUGGGAUAACUCCGGGAAACCGGGGCUAAUACCGGAUAACAUUUUGCACCGCAUGGUGCGAAAUUCAAAGGCGGCUUCGGCUGUCACUUAUGGAUGGACCCGCGUCGCAUUAGCUAGUUGGUGAGGUAACGGCUCACCAAGGCAACGAUGCGUAGCCGACCUGAGAG
RNAcentral lists this ribosomal RNA (310 nucleotides) under Bacillus pseudomycoides. RNAcentral's name for it is "bacterial SSU rRNA". It matches the Rfam family "Bacterial small subunit ribosomal RNA", at positions 1 to 298 of the family's 1533-position model. Lineage: Bacteria; Bacillati; Bacillota; Bacilli; Caryophanales; Bacillaceae. The record is from RNAcentral.